GACCUGCGGAAGGAUCAUUGU
Molecule: ribosomal RNA, 21 nt
Filed under: Misodendrum quadriflorum
Lineage: Eukaryota; Viridiplantae; Streptophyta; Magnoliopsida; Santalales; Misodendraceae
Description: partial 18S ribosomal RNA
Source: RNAcentral